CGUGGGGGCGGGGGAGAGCUACCUCAUACUCUUUUCUGCAUCCUCACUGUUGAAGUCCGAGGUCUGGGCCAGCUGAGUCCUGAGCAUGAGAUGCUUUUCUUGUAGUUGCUGGGCCUCUGCAUGGAGAUAGUCCUCCCGACCCCAUUGGGGGCUGUAUGCUCGCAGGUGAAAGCCUGCUUUGUGCCGUUAUUUUCCAGGAGGGCAGGAGCCACGGCUGCCUGAGCAAACGUGAACCACGUGUCUUCCCUACAAAAAGCCAGACGGUGGUGGGGGCUGUGGCUGUUGCGCACAGUAGGUUGUUUCCUUGUGCUGCGUGAAGCAUUAAGGAAAUGAGAUGCAACUCUGUUACCAUCGGCCUGAGUUUCACACACAGAGGUGGUGCCUGCUCUCCGGGCCCCUCCGGGCUGUGGCACUCUUUGCAGAGCAGGAGCCCAGGGUGUCACCUAUCGAGCUCACAGGGUUGCAGGUCUUGAAGCCCCUUCAAAUCUUAGGGUGGCUCUCAGGCUCAUGAUGCCAAGGAAGUGGCAGACCAAGGACCCUGGAGUAAGGCAGAGGGUCAGGCAGGUGAUCAAGGUCAGAGCAGAGACAAGGGUGAAAAACAGGGCAGGAGCAACCAACAAAACAGUUCCCAGAUCAGGAAGACAAGCCAGGGCACAAAUUCUAGAACGAGGCAGGUGGUCAGAAGUGCCGUCACAAAGCAAGUGACUGACGGGAGCCCAAGGCAGGACAGGCAUUGCGGCUCCUGGAGAGAGAAGACAUUUUUGUGACCAAGGCAGCCACUGGCCUUGAGUAUCUCUGGAGGCAGGAACGCGUUCUCUGUGGGCCUGUGGCAGGGAUCCUCCCAGCUAGAUGCCUUUCCUGCCUUGUUUGGCUCACAGAUGGGUGACAGAGGAAGGUCACCCACUUCUGCUUAGCUUUCUUCUAUGCGUGGGCACCUGUGCUUGACCAUUGGUGCCUUGGUCCAACCAAACAUUCCCACUCCCAGGACCUAAGCGGGCCCCGCUGAUGCAGGCUAUUCAGCUUGUAGACGAUGCAGAACUGAAAGCACCUGGGAGCAGCCCAGGGCCAGGUGGGUCUCUUCAGCCGGAGGCCUGCCAUGGUCUCUAGGGCUUUUCUCCAGCCCCCGUGGGGAUGACUUAUGUGAAAGGGAAUGAGAACUCAGAGGGCACAGGAGCCACCCUGCCUAGAGGUUUCUGCCCCAUUGGCACCAGUCUCUUGUGGUGGCCCUUAGGCACAGCUUCCGGCGUCGUAGCUAGGGACCCUCCAGAAAUAAGUCACUGUUAUGUCGGAAGCCCCAGAUUUAUCAAGAGGUAAAUGGGAAAGGGACCCUUUUGCUAAAAGAGAUAAGGUGCUCUGCUUGAUAUGUUAAAUACUGCUGUCCACAGUUAUUUGUGGGAAAUGCUUGUGAUCCUAAGGUAAGACGAUAUCCUAUAAAAAUUAAUUGGACAAAAGAAUAGUUCAGUGAUCUAGGUGUUCAAGGUAUAAUUCGAAGACACAGUAAAACUCCACAACAAGAUUUUGCUCACUGGGCGAUCAAAACACCUGGCUGUGGCCUUUCACUCCCUCCCCGACAGAUGGUCUUCCUUGUCACUUUGCGGAAUGUGGGGGUCGGGUCAGCAUUCCCACCAAUUGUCACCAGAUGGCAGCAGAGGACUUUGGUUGGAUGUGAACAUGGGCAUCGCAGACUGUCAGGGCCUUUGGGAGGUUGCUCAGGUGCCUUCCUCCUCCUUCCCCAUCCCACCUGCGGUCCUUGGCUGGCUCCCGCUGUGGCCUGCACUGUUGAACUGUUGAACAAACACAGCACUCACUUUCUUUUGACUCUACCUCCUUCCCCAACUCCCAGCAGGGCCCGCAGGCUCUUUAUCAGUGGGGAUCAGAGCCCUCAAUGGGCCCAGGCCAGCUGGCAGCAUCACCCCAUCUGUCUACCCUUGGGCCUUGAAGACUUGUGUGCCCAUCUUGACCCCUUAGCCAGGCUUCGGUAACUGGUUCACACUGCAGACUUCAAAGCCCAUGAGUUUGUAACAACACUGCCUGCCCAGCAGCUCUUGGCCCAUGCCCGUGGUGGUGCAAGUUUGCCAGCCUCGCUGCAACUGGGUGUCCAGGCAGGCCCACUUCAUGGGCAGUGAAGGGAGUGGGUUGUUGUCCUCAUCUCCUAAAUCCCACCCACACAAGGGGGCCAUCCCACCCUUUUACAGCUGCCGAACUUUCACUGUCAGACCCAGUGAUCAGCCUCACCAGGCACCAAGUCCUGUCCUCCUCCUCCUCCUCCUCUUCCUCCUCCUCCUUCUGUUCCUCCUGUUGUUCCUCCCCCUC
Molecule: long non-coding RNA, 2313 nt
Organism: Pipistrellus kuhlii (Kuhl's pipistrelle)
Lineage: Eukaryota; Metazoa; Chordata; Mammalia; Chiroptera; Vespertilionidae
Exons: 3
Source: RefSeq, a predicted model, not a curated record